This is a long non-coding RNA of Paramisgurnus dabryanus, 653 nucleotides long. RefSeq lists it as uncharacterized. The record is from RefSeq and is a predicted model, not a curated record. Lineage: Eukaryota; Metazoa; Chordata; Actinopteri; Cypriniformes; Cobitidae.
AGCAAAAUCACCAGUGUUAAAUUUUCAGGGAUGGUGUUAAAUACACAGUGUUGAUGUUGUUUUAACACUAUCUGGUAAUAAAAUAACACUGCCAUUGCUAGGCCAGUGUUAUAUUCACGACAGUGUCAGUGUUAAACAAGGGUGUUAUCAGAUUUCACUCUGAGCGGUGUAAAUCAAGCCACGCCUCCACUAAACAUAUCCUGUCAGGGAUUUUACCGCCAUUUUCUUUCACAGGAGGACUGAAGAGAUCAGAUGCUAGUUUGGUGAAAGUUCACACUGAGUGCUUCAAAUCAUUCAGAAGAGAUGCUGUUUUUAGGGCAGUUUAUUAAAGAAGACCUGACAUGGAUGACUUCCAAUGAGAAACGACUGCUAAUACUUAUAUAAAUUCAUUACAGAAGGACCCUACCAGACUAUAUUUGAAUACGGCAUACCCAUGAAUUCUGGAACUGUUAUUCCUUAACCCAGUUUGGAGGAUAAGAGCUUACCAACUAGUUAUAAAUAUGCUGAGGUGAUGUAUUGCAAAAUAGCCAACAUACAACAAUAUGGAUGACCCUCUGUCUGGUCAACAGGAGUUUAAAUAUGGACGGGACAGUGAUGUGGCAGCUCUUCCCUGGCUCAUUCACCUCUUGCCUUUCAUUUGUGAAAGGAAGAAA